RNAcentral lists this ribosomal RNA (617 nucleotides) under uncultured bacterium. RNAcentral describes it as "bacterial SSU rRNA". It matches the Rfam family "Bacterial small subunit ribosomal RNA", at positions 28 to 646 of the family's 1533-position model. The record is from RNAcentral.
GAUGAACGCUGGCGGCGUGCCUAACACAUGCAAGUCGAACGAAGCAUUUUAGAGGAAGUUUUCGGAUGGAAUUUAAGAUGACUGAGUGGCGGACGGGUGAGUAACGCGUGGAUAACCUGCCCCACACUGGGGGAUAACAGUUAGAAAUGACUGCUAAUACCGCAUAAGCGCACAGUACUGCAUAGUACGGUGUGAAAAACUCCGGUGGUGUGGGAUGGAUCCGCGUCUGAUUAGUUAGUUGGCGGGGUAACGGCCCACCAAGACGACGAUCAGUAGCCGACCUGAGAGGGUGACCGGCCACAUUGGGACUGAGACACGGCCCAAACUCCUACGGGAGGCAGCAGUGGGGAAUAUUGCACAAUGGGGGAAACCCUGAUGCAGCGACGCCGCGUGAGUGAAGAAGUAUUUCGGUAUGUAAAGCUCUAUCAGCAGGGAAGAAGAUGACGGUACCUGACUAAGAAGCCCCGGCUAACUACGUGCCAGCAGCCGCGGUAAUACGUAGGGGGCAAGCGUUAUCCGGAUUUACUGGGUGUAAAGGGAGCGUAGACGGCGGAGCAAGUCUGAAGUGAAAGCCCGGGGCUCAACCCCGGGACUGUUUUGGNNCUGUUCUGCUAGAG